UAAAUGGAGCGAUUAAAUGAUAAGUAGCAUGCAGGAAAAACAGAAUUUUUAUCCAAAAUAAAAUUUUACCUGAGUGUGUGAUCAAGGAUCAUAGAUUUGAUAAAGAAAAUUUCAAAUCCAUUACCGAAACUGAACUUGAAAGUUUCCAGGGAUUCAUGCCUUCAUUUCAUAGCCUAGGAAGAGACUUAUUGUCAAAAGCACAGAAUUCCAAGUGGCCAGUAAAGACACCUGUUCAACUCUUGUAAGCUUUCGAAUACUUGAAAAUGGAAUUACCUACGGGAUGAUGGCAGGCGCUCUUCAUUCGGACAUUUCGCUGCAGUUUUUGAAUAUGUGAAGCGGAAUAGACCGCCAGAGUUGAAGUGAAAAGAAAUUCGUCCUGUGAAUCCUGGUUACGAUCCCGACAGUUUCCUAAUUAUUUACUCACGAGUAGUAAUCUAGAAACGGUUAGCUGUGCAGAGCUGUGCAGCCGGAUUAAUUUUCGGUAUUCAAUUUCAUUUUUGUCACUUUAACUAUUAAAACUUUGCCUUCCUUUCGUGCCGUUGAUUAUUACAGAGUAAACUGUGACAAAUUUACUAUCGAAUUUUGCUAAAAUUGAUACUUUUAGAAAUUAUUCUCAGACCCUAUAAUUGCUUAAAAGGUGCAAAUAUAGAACCUGCAGAAUUUUACGUUGGGAUCGUUCAUUCAAAUUCUAUCGAAACUUUAUUACUUUUAGAAAUUCGACUCCUUUUUGCUGCUUUUCAAGAAACUUGUUUUGCUUCUUCCUCGCUAUCUACGCAGUUUAAUUUUUUGAAUUACUUUUUCUAAAAACAAAAAACGAGAUUUGGCUUCCACAGAGCAUUUCAGCGAAUUAUUCGUUACCCUAAAAGGCUUCCGAAAAAGGCCAAGACCUGGCACAUUGAAUCAAAAAAGUGUUGGCAUCUUGGCAUGCAGUGAAUUAUUCGUAGUCUAUUCUCGACGUAUGCAGGAUGAAGAGCUCCCUCAUUUUACUGAUGUUUCUACUGCUAGGCAUUCACGCCGUUAUUGUGAAUGGAGCACGCCGUUAUCAUCCAAUUCAAAGCGGGUCAUCUCCUGAUCAGUAUCACCGCCAGCAAAACCAGCAUUAUAACAACGUCUACGAAGACUACAGUAAUCACUAUCAUGCUUAUUAUCCCUUUCCAAUUACGUUCGUCUACGGAGCCAUAGGUCCUGCCAGAGGCUAACAGCUGUUUCCAGAAGUUUGCAAAAAGCUACGACGUAAGGUGUUUCCAAGCUGUAGUUUGAAAACGUAGCAAUAUAUACAGUUACACAAA
Long non-coding RNA from Daphnia magna, 1289 nucleotides. RefSeq lists it as uncharacterized. Lineage: Eukaryota; Metazoa; Arthropoda; Branchiopoda; Diplostraca; Daphniidae. The record is from RefSeq and is a predicted model, not a curated record. The transcript is spliced from 5 exons.